UACGAAGGGUGCAAGCGUUGCUCGGAAUUAUUGGGCGUAAAGGGUUGGUAGGUGGUCUUGUUUGUCUAAGGUGAAAUCCCAUGGCUUAACUGUGGAAGUGCCUUAGAAACGGCAAGACUAGAGUCCUAGAGGGGUUUGUGGAAUCCCCGGUGUAGCGGUGAAAUGCGUAGAGAUCGGGAGGAACACCAGCGGCGAAGGCGGCAAACUGGAUAGGCACUGACACUC
RNAcentral lists this ribosomal RNA (225 nucleotides) under uncultured bacterium. RNAcentral describes it as "partial 16S ribosomal RNA". It matches the Rfam family "Bacterial small subunit ribosomal RNA", at positions 524 to 748 of the family's 1533-position model. The record is from RNAcentral.